Molecule: long non-coding RNA, 369 nt
Organism: Cucumis sativus (cucumber)
Lineage: Eukaryota; Viridiplantae; Streptophyta; Magnoliopsida; Cucurbitales; Cucurbitaceae
Exons: 2
Source: RefSeq, a predicted model, not a curated record
UUGAAUAGACUUGGGAACCCAAAAAGAAUGCGCCUUUACUUCGUGUGCUACUCAAAUUUGUAGAAAUUUCACAUUACUCCUAACAAAUUGAUGAGCAAGAUAAACGCCACACGGAGGACUUAAGUUCCAGAAUCUCUCUCAUAAAAUAGGUCAAAGACUCAAAGACACCCAUCGGCGAUUCGGCCAUCACUAUGUGAUUCAGGAAAAGAAGAAGGAACCUGGGCAACAAAAGCUGCGAACGACAUUCCCAAUAAAAGCGCCACAUUUUCAAAAUCUCCAUCAAUACGCCGCGAUUGAGCAAUUAUAACUUUGGGCCGUCGGCGUUUGCAAUUGACGCCUCUCUGCAACAAUCUGGCGGGCGAAGAACAA